AGUAGCAAUACUUUUGGUGGCGACCGGCGCACGGGUGAGUAACACGUAUGCAACCUACCUGUAAGCGGGGAAUAACCCGGAGAAAUUCGGACUAACACCGCAUAAUACUGUUGAACCGCAUGGUUUAACAGUUAAAUAUUCAUAGCUUACAGAUGGGCAUGCGUAUGAUUAGCUAGUUGGUGGGGUAACGGCUCACCAAGGCAACGAUCAUUAGGGGUUCUGAGAGGAAGGUCCCCCACAUUGGAACUGAGACACGGUCCAAACUCCUACGGGAGGCAGCAGUGAGGAAUAUUGGUCAAUGGGCGAGAGCCUGAACCAGCCAAGUCGCGUGAAGGAAGAAGGUUCUAUGGAUUGUAAACUUCUUUUGUAAGGGAAUAAAGUGCAGCACGUGUGCUGUUUUGUAUGUACUUUACGAAUAAGGAUCGGCUAACUCCGUGCCAGCAGCCGCGGUAAUACGGAGGAUCCGAGCGUUAUCCGGAUUUAUUGGGUUUAAAGGGUGCGUAGGCGGACCCGUAAGUCAGUGGUGAAAGUUUGCAGCUCAACUGUAAAAUUGCCAUUGAAACUGAGGGUCUUGAGUGUAAAUGAGGUAGGCGGAAUGUGUUGUGUAGCGGUGAAAUGCUUAGAUAUAACACAGAACACCAAUUGCGAAGGCAGCUUACUAGGAUACAACUGACGCUCAGGCACGAAAGCGUGGGGAUCAAACAGGAUUAGAUACCCUGGUAGUCCACGCAGUAAACGAUGAAUACUAGCUGUAUGCGAUAUACUGUAUGUGGCAAAGCGAAAGCGUUAAGUAUUCCACC
This 800-nucleotide ribosomal RNA is filed under the name uncultured Bacteroidota bacterium. RNAcentral describes it as "bacterial SSU rRNA". It matches the Rfam family "Bacterial small subunit ribosomal RNA", at positions 75 to 873 of the family's 1533-position model. Lineage: Bacteria; Pseudomonadati; Bacteroidota. The record is from RNAcentral.